UACGAAGGGUGCUAGCGUUGUUCGGAAUCACUGGGCGUAAAGCGUGCGCAGGCGGCCAUUCAAGUCAGAGGUGAAAUACCUGGGCUCAACCCAGGAACUGCCUUUGAAACUGUAUGGCUGGAGACUCGGAGGGGUUGGCGGAAUUCCUAAUGUAGCGGUGAAAUGCGUAGAUAUUAGGAGGAACACCAGUGGCGAAGGCGGCCAACUAGACGAGUACUGACGCUCAUGCACGAAAGCGUGGGGAUCAAACAGG
This 253-nucleotide ribosomal RNA is filed under the name uncultured bacterium. Its description in RNAcentral is "partial 16S ribosomal RNA". It matches the Rfam family "Bacterial small subunit ribosomal RNA", at positions 524 to 776 of the family's 1533-position model. The record is from RNAcentral.